AGAAUCAACGCUGGCGGCGUGCCUAACACAUGCAAGUCGAUCGAGAAAGUGGAGCAAUCCAUGAGUAAAGAGGCGCACGGGUGAGUAACACGUGACUAACCUACCCUCGAGUGGGGAAUAACCUGGGGAAACCCGGGCUAAUACCGCAUAAUACCCACGGGUCAAAGGAGCAAUUCGCUUGAGGAGGGGUCGCGGCAGAUUAGUUAGUUGGCGGGGUAAUGGCCCACCAAGACGAUGAUCUGUAUCCGGCCUGAGAGGGCGCACGGACACACUGGAACUGAAACACGGUCCAGACUCCUACGGGAGGCAGCAGUGGGGAAUUUUGCGCAAUGGGGGAAACCCUGACGCAGCAACGCCGCGUGGAGGAUGAAGUCCCUUGGGACGUAAACUCCGUUUCGACCGGGACGAUAAUGACGGUACCGGAUGAAGAAGCCCCGGCUAACUUCGCGCCAGCAGCCGC
This 460-nucleotide ribosomal RNA is filed under the name uncultured bacterium. RNAcentral describes it as "SSU rRNA". It matches the Rfam family "Bacterial small subunit ribosomal RNA", at positions 26 to 518 of the family's 1533-position model. The record is from RNAcentral.